CACGUAGGGCGCGAGCGUUGUCCGGAAUUAUUGGGCGUAAAGAGCUCGUAGGCGGCCUGUUGCGUCCGCUGUGAAAGCCCGGGGCUUAACCCCGGGUCGGCAGUGGAUACGGGCAGGCUAGAGGUAGGUAGGGGAGAAUGGAAUUCCCGGUGUAGCGGUGAAAUGCGCAGAUAUGACAUAGAACACCAAUUGCGAAGGCAGCUUGCUACACAGUUAUUGACGCUGAGGCACGAAAGCGUGGGGAUCAAACAGG
This 253-nucleotide ribosomal RNA is filed under the name uncultured bacterium. Its description in RNAcentral is "partial 16S ribosomal RNA". It matches the Rfam family "Bacterial small subunit ribosomal RNA", at positions 524 to 776 of the family's 1533-position model. The record is from RNAcentral.